Molecule: ribosomal RNA, 253 nt
Filed under: uncultured bacterium
Lineage: Bacteria
Description: partial 16S ribosomal RNA
Rfam family: Bacterial small subunit ribosomal RNA
Source: RNAcentral
UACGUAGGCAGCAAGCGUUGUUCGGAGUUACUGGGCGUAAAGGGUGCGUAGGUGGCUCUAUAAGUCUGGUGUGAAAUCUCCCAGCUCAACUGGGGGGGUGCGCCGAAUACUGAGAGGCUAGAGUGUGGGAGAGGAAAGUGGAAUUCCUGGUGUAGCGGUGAAAUGCGUAGAUAUCAGGAGGAACACCGGUGGUGUAAACGGCUUUCUGGACCAUAACUGACGCUGAGGCACGAAAGCGUGGGUAGCAAACAGG